This 182-nucleotide ribosomal RNA is filed under the name uncultured bacterium. Its description in RNAcentral is "partial 16S ribosomal RNA". It matches the Rfam family "Bacterial small subunit ribosomal RNA", at positions 336 to 526 of the family's 1533-position model. The record is from RNAcentral.
CUCCUACGGGCGGCAGCAGUCGAGAAUCUUCGGCAAUGGGCGCAAGCCUGACCGAGCGACGCCGCGUGGAGGACGAAGGCCUUCGGGUUGUAAACUCCUGUCGAGGGGGAANAAGGGGUAACACCUUGACUGAUCCCUGGAGGAAGCACGGGCUAAGUUCGUGCCAGCCGCCGCGGUAAUAC